Molecule: ribosomal RNA, 242 nt
Filed under: uncultured bacterium
Lineage: Bacteria
Description: partial 16S ribosomal RNA
Rfam family: Bacterial small subunit ribosomal RNA
Source: RNAcentral
GAUCAUGGCUCAGGAUGAACGCUGGCGGCGUGCUUAACACAUGCAAGUCGAACGGGGAUUAUUUCAUUGAAGCUUCGGCAGAUUUGGCUUAAUCCUAGUGGCGGACGGGUGAGUAACGCGUGGGUAACCUGCCUUGUACAGGGGGAUAACAGUCAGAAAUGACUGCUAAUACCGCAUAAGCGCACAGGACCGCAUGGUCCGGUGUGAAAAACUCCGGUGGUAUGAGAUGGACCCGCGUUGGA